RNAcentral lists this ribosomal RNA (2904 nucleotides) under Escherichia coli. RNAcentral describes it as "23S ribosomal RNA". It matches the Rfam family "Bacterial large subunit ribosomal RNA". The record is from RNAcentral. Lineage: Bacteria; Pseudomonadati; Pseudomonadota; Gammaproteobacteria; Enterobacterales; Enterobacteriaceae.
GGUUAAGCGACUAAGCGUACACGGUGGAUGCCCUGGCAGUCAGAGGCGAUGAAGGACGUGCUAAUCUGCGAUAAGCGUCGGUGAGGUGAUAUGAACCGUUAUAACCGGCGAUUUCCGAAUGGGGAAACCCAGUGUGUUUCGACACACUAUCAUUAACUGAAUCCAUAGGUUAAUGAGGCGAACCGGGGGAACUGAAACAUCUAAGUACCCCGAGGAAAAGAAAUCAACCGAGAUUCCCCCAGUAGCGGCGAGCGAACGGGGAGGAGCCCAGAGCCUGAAUCAGUGUGUGUGUUAGUGGAAGCGUCUGGAAAGGCGCGCGAUACAGGGUGACAGCCCCGUACACAAAAAUGCACAUGCUGUGAGCUCGAUGAGUAGGGCGGGACACGUGGUAUCCUGUCUGAAUAUGGGGGGACCAUCCUCCAAGGCUAAAUACUCCUGACUGACCGAUAGUGAACCAGUACCGUGAGGGAAAGGCGAAAAGAACCCCGGCGAGGGGAGUGAAAAAGAACCUGAAACCGUGUACGUACAAGCAGUGGGAGCCUCUUAAUGGGGUGACUGCGUACCUUUUGUAUAAUGGGUCAGCGACUUAUAUUCUGUAGCAAGGUUAACCGAAUAGGGGAGCCGAAGGGAAACCGAGUCUUAACUGGGCGUUAAGUUGCAGGGUAUAGACCCGAAACCCGGUGAUCUAGCCAUGGGCAGGUUGAAGGUUGGGUAACACUAACUGGAGGACCGAACCGACUAAUGUUGAAAAAUUAGCGGAUGACUUGUGGCUGGGGGUGAAAGGCCAAUCAAACCGGGAGAUAGCUGGUUCUCCCCGAAAGCUAUUUAGGUAGCGCCUCGUGAAUUCAUCUCCGGGGGUAGAGCACUGUUUCGGCAAGGGGGUCAUCCCGACUUACCAACCCGAUGCAAACUGCGAAUACCGGAGAAUGUUAUCACGGGAGACACACGGCGGGUGCUAACGUCCGUCGUGAAGAGGGAAACAACCCAGACCGCCAGCUAAGGUCCCAAAGUCAUGGUUAAGUGGGAAACGAUGUGGGAAGGCCCAGACAGCCAGGAUGUUGGCUUAGAAGCAGCCAUCAUUUAAAGAAAGCGUAAUAGCUCACUGGUCGAGUCGGCCUGCGCGGAAGAUGUAACGGGGCUAAACCAUGCACCGAAGCUGCGGCAGCGACACUAUGUGUUGUUGGGUAGGGGAGCGUUCUGUAAGCCUGUGAAGGUGGCCUGUGAGGGUUGCUGGAGGUAUCAGAAGUGCGAAUGCUGACAUAAGUAACGAUAAAGCGGGUGAAAAGCCCGCUCGCCGGAAGACCAAGGGUUCCUGUCCAACGUUAAUCGGGGCAGGGUGAGUCGACCCCUAAGGCGAGGCCGAAAGGCGUAGUCGAUGGGAAACAGGUUAAUAUUCCUGUACUUGGUGUUACUGCGAAGGGGGGACGGAGAAGGCUAUGUUGGCCGGGCGACGGUUGUCCCGGUUUAAGCGUGUAGGCUGGUUUUCCAGGCAAAUCCGGAAAAUCAAGGCUGAGGCGUGAUGACGAGGCACUACGGUGCUGAAGUGACAAAUGCCCUGCUUCCAGGAAAAGCCUCUAAGCAUCAGGUAACAUCAAAUCGUACCCCAAACCGACACAGGUGGUCAGGUAGAGAAUACCAAGGCGCUUGAGAGAACUCGGGUGAAGGAACUAGGCAAAAUGGUGCCGUAACUUCGGGAGAAGGCACGCUGAUAUGUAGGUGAAGCGACUUGCUCGUGGAGCUGAAAUCAGUCGAAGAUACCAGCUGGCUGCAACUGUUUAUUAAAAACACAGCACUGUGCAAACACGAAAGUGGACGUAUACGGUGUGACGCCUGCCCGGUGCCGGAAGGUUAAUUGAUGGGGUUAGCGGUAACGCGAAGCUCUUGAUCGAAGCCCCGGUAAACGGCGGCCGUAACUAUAACGGUCCUAAGGUAGCGAAAUUCCUUGUCGGGUAAGUUCCGACCUGCACGAAUGGCGUAAUGAUGGUCAGGCUGUCUCCACCCGAGACUCAGUGAAAUUGAACUCGCUGUGAAGAUGCAGUGUACCCGCGGCAAGACGGAAAGACCCCGUGAACCUUUACUAUAGCUUGACACUGAACAUUGAGCCUUGAUGUGUAGGAUAGGUGGGAGGCUUUGAAGUGUGGACGCCAGUCUGCAUGGAGCCGACCUUGAAAUACCACCCUUUAAUGUUUGAUGUUCUAACGUUGGCCCGUAAUCCGGGUUGCGGACAGUGUCUGGUGGGUAGUUUGACUGGGGCGGUCUCCUCCUAAAGAGUAACGGAGGAGCACGAAGGUUGGCUAAUCCUGGUCGGACAUCAGGAGGUUAGUGCAAUGGCAUAAGCCAGCUUGACUGCGAGCGUGACGGCGCGAGCAGGUGCGAAAGCAGGUCAUAGUGAUCCGGUGGUUCUGAAUGGAAGGGCCAUCGCUCAACGGAUAAAAGGUACUCCGGGGAUAACAGGCUGAUACCGCCCAAGAGUUCAUAUCGACGGCGGUGUUUGGCACCUCGAUGUCGGCUCAUCACAUCCUGGGGCUGAAGUAGGUCCCAAGGGUAUGGCUGUUCGCCAUUUAAAGUGGUACGCGAGCUGGGUUUAGAACGUCGUGAGACAGUUCGGUCCCUAUCUGCCGUGGGCGCUGGAGAACUGAGGGGGGCUGCUCCUAGUACGAGAGGACCGGAGUGGACGCAUCACUGGUGUUCGGGUUGUCAUGCCAAUGGCACUGCCCGGUAGCUAAAUGCGGAAGAGAUAAGUGCUGAAAGCAUCUAAGCACGAAACUUGCCCCGAGAUGAGUUCUCCCUGACUCCUUGAGAGUCCUGAAGGAACGUUGAAGACGACGACGUUGAUAGGCCGGGUGUGUAAGCGCAGCGAUGCGUUGAGCUAACCGGUACUAAUGAACCGUGAGGCUUAACCUU